UUCCAGACUCCUACGGGAGGCAGCAGUCGAUCCUCCUUCACAAUUUUGGCCACCCUGAUGGUGCGACGCCGCGUGGGGGAAUGAAGGUCUUCGGAUUGUACCCCCCUGUCAUGUGGGCGCAAAUUAAACCGAUAGUACCACAAGCGGAAGAGACGGCUAACUCUGUGCCAGCAGCCGCGGUAAUACAGAGGUCUCAAGCGUUGUUCGGAAUCACUGGGCGGAAAGCGUGCGUAGGCUGUUUCGUAAGUCGUGUGUGAAAGGCGCGGGCUCAACCCGCGGACGGCACAGGAUACUGCGAGACUAGAGUAAGGGAGGGGGAACCGGAAUUCUCGGUGGAGCAGUGAAGUGCGGAGAGAUCGAGAGGAACACUCGUGGCGAAGGCGGGUUCCUGGACAGGAACUGCCGCGGAGGCACGAAGGCCAGGGGAGCGAAAGGGAGGAGAUACCCGCGUAAA
RNAcentral lists this ribosomal RNA (454 nucleotides) under uncultured bacterium. RNAcentral's name for it is "bacterial SSU rRNA". It matches the Rfam family "Bacterial small subunit ribosomal RNA", at positions 329 to 794 of the family's 1533-position model. The record is from RNAcentral.